Phycodurus eques (leafy seadragon) is the source of this 1220-nucleotide long non-coding RNA. RefSeq lists it as uncharacterized. The record is from RefSeq and is a predicted model, not a curated record. The transcript has 3 exons. NCBI's taxonomy places the organism in Eukaryota, Metazoa, Chordata, Actinopteri, Syngnathiformes, Syngnathidae.
ACCGAGGUUAUAAGAAUCCCCCACACUGACAAACGGGGCUCCUUACUCUCUCGAGUUAGGGAGACACACGUUCUUUUUUCCAUCGCAAUGCUCAGGGACAAGCUGGCAGGAGGACUUCAUUUUUUGAAUCUUCUUAUUCAAUUGGCUUUGCAGGCAUCCAGUCGGACAGCGAUAAUCCACCUGCAUCUGUUUGGCUUCGAGUGAUAAAAAGGAAGUGGCCUUAACCAAGGUGGACGGGACCGUUCACCGUGACUGCGAGGACUUCACACGCCUACCAACUUGAAGGAAAAGGGACUACCUGGUUCCACAGCCCCAGAUGGAAAAGUAACGAGAGCCCUACAUGGGUUACAAACUUUGGCUGCUGAAAUGGCAGAUUCAACAGGCGUUUCCAACCCCCUGGAAGAUUGGGCUACGGCGUGGUAUGGAAAAUGAAAACACCUUGUAAUUACAUUCAUAAUUGCUAUUGUUACUGCUGUUACUUUGUUAUUGCUUUUGGGAUGCUGUAUUAUUCCAUGUACGAGGACACCGUGUGUCAAGAUGGUCUCGGGAGUGGUGGAGAAGAAUAUGAACCAGCCGGAAUCACAGAUGUUGAUGACCUCUGAAGAAGCUUCUUCUCCUGAAGUUCUGCUCACACAAGACGACGUCGUGUCCAGAUGGAUGAAUUAUUGAUUAAGAAUAUACAGUUUCUUUUCUCUUAGCAUGUUUCGGGACUUGUCUUUUUCCCCUCCUCAAAUCAAUAUUUUUGGCCUGUCUCAAGAGUAGUGCUGCCUGAUGAAGAAUGCUUAGCUCAUGACUACGUUGUUUAUAUAUCCUCUGAUAGCCUUCCACAUAGAGUAGUACUGCUUAGGGUCUGUUACAUAGUUCCACUAUGUAAACAGGGGAAUUGCUGGAUUGUUCUAUUUUGUACUCAUGAAGCUAUGUUCCAUUAUCUAACAAUUAAGUUCCGUUUCCAAAACACUAAGGGUAAUACAUGAUUAAGUUUUGUUAUCCAUGAGAAUAUGUAGGAGUUUAGAUUACUGAGGAAUCAUGGUUUUAGGAUGACUCCCCCUUUUCUGAUAACACCCAAGGCCAGAGGUACCUUCUGCUAAAGAUAUAUCAAAACCUUCUGCUGAACAGUCAUAACGAAACCUUCUGAUGUUUAUAAAAGGAGUUAGCUCAAAUAAACGAGGUGUGUCAUUCAGUGAACCUGCACUCUGGUGUACAGUUGAUUGAAUGCACCU